AGUGCCACAGAUCCAUGUCGGUCCAUGUGAAAUGGCCCGAGUGAGGUGAGUCUCAGACUCUGAAAAUUCUCCAGAGAAGUUUCUGUGCAGCUGGAGCCAUAAGGGUCUGAUCACACUUGAGAAGCUGGCAGUGCAGAGAGUAGAGCUUUGGAGUGGGGCAAAUCUGAGCGGGGAAACCAGUACCAGGAAUCGAACUCAAGACCUCACGCUUGCCGGGCAGACGCUGUGCCGCUGAGCCAAAUCCCCAGCCCUAUAUAUAUAACUUGUGUAGUAUUAUCUCCAGACUUUCCCGCAUGCUCUUUGCCUGGAUAGAAUGCCCCUCUCUCCCACUCAGAUGUCCCAUGGUUGCACUUUUUUCUGGGUAUUCCUCCUAGAAACAAAGGCCUUUUCCUCCUCUGAAUUACAGUAAGGUGAUGGCUCUUAAGCUGUGGGCUGCAGCACCUGGGGCGAGGGCUUCUGAAGCACUGCAAGCAACCUCUGCAACCUGUAGGUGCACAAAAGACUGAGUAGAUCACGUGCCUUGCAUAUACAGGUAUUGCUACAUAUACAUGUAUUGUGAUUAUCAGAAUACUGCAGAAAAUUCUUUGAAAUAAUUGAAUUUAUACAUUUUCUCCGUUGGAGGGAUACGAAGACCAUUACUUCGUAUGGAAAUGGAAUUCUCUGAUGUCCCACUUAAGGAGUGGGAAACUACUGCUUCAGGACUUAUUCUCCAAACAACUGAUCUUUAUAUAACUUCCCCUAACCUUUUCUGUGUUUACAUCUUCCCUUGACUACUGGGUCAUAAACAUCUAGAGAGGGUGUGGCCAGACUCCACACUUUUUCACAUGCCAUCUUUACAGUGGAUUACACACAGCAGGUGCUUCAACUGCUGUUUAGUUGAAGGGGCCCUUCCCCUGAGGGGCACAAGCUGGGUGCAUCGCCGUGUGCAUCGCCGUGUGCAACAGUGUGGCAGUCCAGGAUGGCAAACGCACCUAGUCACCACGAAAGACACCGUCGCCUGGGCAUGGCGACCUAGCCAGUCUGAGCCGGUCUCGCCCUUCUUUUCUGGGCCGGCCUGGGAGGGGUUAGAGCCGAAGCCACAGGGUCUCUUGGGUCCCCGCCCGGGACACAGAGUCCUCCCCAAGCCCCUACCCUACCCCCGCAGGGUUAACCCCGCCCCCCGCGCCUGUUUACCCCCGAGUCAGAGCCCUCUGGGGGGUCCCCGGCCCCUCCCCGCGCCCUCCCGGGCUUGGGCCUGACCCGGGAGUCCCUGUGGGCUAUUCCCCCCCCCACGCCUGCCAGCGCUCUCUAUUUAUAGCGGCCCCCCGCGUUCCCGCCCCCCUCCUGUUGUCCAACUUCUUCGGGAGCAGGCGGAAAGCAGGCGUCGGGACGCGGCACACAGGAGGUACCCGGACCCCGGGCCU
Long non-coding RNA from Chinchilla lanigera (long-tailed chinchilla), 1403 nucleotides. RefSeq lists it as uncharacterized. NCBI's taxonomy places the organism in Eukaryota, Metazoa, Chordata, Mammalia, Rodentia, Chinchillidae. The transcript has 4 exons. The record is from RefSeq and is a predicted model, not a curated record.